This 468-nucleotide ribosomal RNA is filed under the name uncultured bacterium. Its description in RNAcentral is "partial 16S ribosomal RNA". It matches the Rfam family "Bacterial small subunit ribosomal RNA", at positions 28 to 507 of the family's 1533-position model. The record is from RNAcentral.
GACGAACGCUGGCGGCGUGCUUAACACAUGCAAGUCGAACGGAAAGGCCCUGCUUUUGUGGGGUGCUCGAGUGGCGAACGGGUGAGUAACACGUGAGUAACCUGCCCUUGACUUUGGGAUAACUUCAGGAAACUGGGGCUAAUACCGGAUAGGAGCUCCUGCUGCAUGGUGGGGGUUGGAAAGUUUCGGCGGUUGGGGAUGGAUUCGCGGCUUAUCAGCUUGUUGGUGGGGUAGUGGCUUACCAAGGCUUUGACGGGUAGCCGGCCUGUGAGGGUGACCGGCCCCAUUGGGACUGAGAUACGGCCCAGACUCCUACGGGAGGCAGCAGUGGGGAAUAUUGCACAAUGGGCGGAAGCCUGAUGCAGCAACGCCGCGUGCGGGAUGACGGCCUUCGGGUUGUAAACCGCUUUCGCCUGUGACGAAGCGUGAGUGACGGUAAUGGGUAAAGAAGCACCGGCUAACUACGUG